AGAGCGAACGCUGGCGGCAGGCUUAACACAUGCAAGUCGAGCGGGCGUAGCAAUACGUCAGCGGCAGACGGGUGAGUAACGCGUGGGAACGUACCUUUUGGUUCGGAACAACCCAGGGAAACUUGGGCUAAUACCGGAUAAGCCCUUACGGGGAAAGAUUUAUCGCCGAAAGAUCGGCCCGCGUCUGAUUAGCUAGUUGGUGAGGUAAUGGCUCACCAAGGCGACGAUCAGUAGCUGGUCUGAGAGGAUGAUCAGCCACAUUGGGACUGAGACACGGCCCAAACUCCUACGGGAGGCAGCAGUGGGGAAUAUUGGACAAUGGGCGCAAGCCUGAUCCAGCCAUGCCGCGUGAGUGAUGAAGGCCCUAGGGUUGUAAAGCUCUUUUGUGCGGGAAGAUAAGUGACGGUACCGCAAGAAUAAGCCCCGGCUAACGUUCGCGCCAGCAGCCGC
Molecule: ribosomal RNA, 450 nt
Filed under: uncultured bacterium
Lineage: Bacteria
Description: SSU rRNA
Rfam family: Bacterial small subunit ribosomal RNA
Source: RNAcentral